RNAcentral lists this ribosomal RNA (1650 nucleotides) under Triticum aestivum (bread wheat). RNAcentral's name for it is "partial small subunit ribosomal RNA". The record is from RNAcentral. Lineage: Eukaryota; Viridiplantae; Streptophyta; Magnoliopsida; Poales; Poaceae.
AUGAUUGAUUACUAUUAUUAUUAUAUCUUACAAAUGAUGACAUUACCUAUAGUACUGUUCAAACUAAUUUUUUUAUUUGUGCAGAUCAUAGUCAAAUCUAUUGUUGCUGAAAUUGGUGGUGGAGUUUUCUGUUUAUUGGUUGAUGAGUCCACUGAUGUUUCAGGCAAGGAACAAAUGGCUGUAGUUUUGCGGUAUGUCGACGAGUUCGGAGCAGUCCAAGAAAGACUUAUUGGUGUUGUUCAUGUGAAUGAGACAUCUGAUUCAUGUCUCAAAUCCGGCAUUGAUCAGUUGUUCAAGAAGUAUGGAUUGAACGUAAAACAAGUUCGAGGCCAAGGGUACGACGGGGCUAGCAACAUGAGAGGUGAGUUCAAUGGCUUGAGAGCUUUGAUCAUGAGGGAGAAUAGCUCAGCAUAUUAUGUUCACUGCUUCGCUCACCAACUCCAGUUAGUCAUUGUGGCAGUAGCUAAAAAGAAUGAUGAUGUUAGUGACUUCUUUGACAUGAUAGCCCUUCUGCUUAAUGUGGCCGGAGCUUCUUGUAAACGAAAAGACUUGAUUAGGGAGAGUCAGCAAGAAAGAGUGAAGAAAAUUAUUGGUUGUGGACAACUUAGUACUGGAACGGGAUUAAAUCAAGAGCUAUCACUUCAAAGAGCUGGAGACACUCGUUGGGGUUCUCACUAUAAAACUCUUCGGAGCAUACUUAACUUGUUCCCAGAUGUUAUUGAAGUACUCAAGUAUGUUGAAAAAGAUGGGCCAAGUGAUGCAAAGAAGCGUCAAGCUCGUGGUCUUUUAGAUUAUGUUACUGAUUUUGACUUCGUGUUUCAUCUACACUUGAUGUUUCUUAUCUUGGGACAUGCAAAUGCUUUAUCUCUAUCUUUACAGAGGAAAGAUAAGGACAUCUUGGAGGCUAUGGUAGAGGUGAAGUUAACCAAGCAAAACUUUCAGAAAAUCAGAGAUGACGGUUGGGAGUCUCUAUUGGAGAGACCUCACUCAUUUUGUGAGCUGUAUGAUAUUCCUAAGUUGGAUAUGGAAGAAGAGUAUAUAGACCGGCAUAAACCAAGGAAAAAAACCAACCGCACUAACUAUCAGCACUACAGAUAUGAUUGCCUCAACCCUGUUAUUGACUUGCAGCUUGCAGAGUUCAAUGAUCGUUUUAAUGAAGUAAAUUCGAGCCUUCUUACCCGAAUGGCUGCAUUCUGUCCAAAAGAUUCCUUUGAAGCUUUCGAUGUUGAGAGCUUAGUUGAUUUGGCUAAGUCCUAUCCAGAUGAUUUUGAUUCUAUCCAGUUGAAGGAACUUGCUCAUGAGCUUCCUUUCUACAUUGAUAAUGUGCGAGCAGACGAAAGAUUUACAGGCCUGAAAACUAUUUCUGAACUUGGUAAGCUGAUGGUUAGUACAAAUAAGCAUCUUGCUUUUCCUUUGGUCUAUCAGCUCCUGAAGCUAGUAUUAGUGCUGCCUGUCGCAACUGCAUCAGUGGAGAGAUGUUUCUCUGGAAUGAAAAUAGUGAAGACUGUGCUACGUAAUCGCAUUGGUGAUGAUUUCAUGAACUACUGCAUCAUUUGUUUCUUGGAGCAAAGACUUCUAUAUUCAACUUCACGUAAGGAUGUAAUAGAUUACUUUUUGAAGAUGAAAGAACGUAGAGGUCAAGAAAAAUAG